This 460-nucleotide ribosomal RNA is filed under the name uncultured bacterium. Its description in RNAcentral is "partial 16S ribosomal RNA". It matches the Rfam family "Bacterial small subunit ribosomal RNA", at positions 338 to 795 of the family's 1533-position model. The record is from RNAcentral.
CCUACGGAAGGCAGCAGUGAGGAAUAUUGGUCAAUGGACGAGAGUCUGAACCAGCCAAGUCGCGUGAAGGAUGACUGCCCUCUGGGUUGUAACCUUUUUUUAUAUGGGAAUAAAAUGUUCCACGUGUGGGAUUUUGUAUGUCCCAUAUGAAUAAGGAUCGGCUAACUACGUGCCAGCAGCCGCGGUAAUACGGAGGAUCCGAGCGUUAUCCGGAUUUAUUGGGUUUAAAGGGUCCGUAGGUGGAUUGUUAAGUCAGUUGUGAAAGUUUGCGGCUCAACCGUAAAAUUGCAGUUGAAACUGGCAGUCUUGAGUACAGUAGAGGUGGGCGGAAUUCGUGGUGUAGCGGUAAAAUGCGUAGAGAUCACGAAGAACUCCGAUUGCGAAGGCAGCUCACUGGACUGCAACUGACACUGAGGCGCGAAAGUGUGGGGAGCAAACAGGAUUAGAUACCCGGGUAGUC